CNGGGUGUGGCGCAGCUUGGUAGCGCGCUUCGUUCGGGACGAAGAGGUCGUGGGUUCGAAUCCCGCCACCCCGACCA
This 77-nucleotide transfer RNA is filed under the name Frankia sp. CpI1-P. Its description in RNAcentral is "tRNA-Pro". It matches the Rfam family "tRNA". Rfam says of the family: Transfer RNA (tRNA) molecules are approximately 80 nucleotides in length. Lineage: Bacteria; Bacillati; Actinomycetota; Actinomycetes; Frankiales; Frankiaceae. The record is from RNAcentral.